UACGGAGGAUCCAAGCGUUAUCCGGAUUUAUUGGGUUUAAAGGGUGCGUAGGCGGUUUAUUAAGUCAGGGGUGAAAGACGGUAGCUUAACUAUCGCAGUGCCUUUGAUACUGCAGGGCUUGAAUGUACUUGAGGUAGGCGGAAUGUGACAAGUAGCGGUGAAAUGCAUAGAUAUGUCACAGAACACCAAUUGCGAAGGCAGCUUACUAAAGUAUGAUUGACGCUGAGGCACGAAAGCGUGGGGAUCAAACAGG
Molecule: ribosomal RNA, 253 nt
Filed under: uncultured bacterium
Lineage: Bacteria
Description: partial 16S ribosomal RNA
Rfam family: Bacterial small subunit ribosomal RNA
Source: RNAcentral